GACGGAGGGGGCAAGCGUUGUUCGGAAUUAUUGGGCGUAAAGGGCUCGUAGGCGGACGUGUGUGUCUGGCGUGAAAUCUCCACCGCUCAACGGGGAGAGGCCGCUGGAAACUGCACGUCUGGAGUUUGGCAGAGGAAUGUGGAAUUCCGCAUGUAGCGGUGGAAUGCGUAGAUAUGCGGAAGAACACCGGUGGCGAAGGCGGCAUUCUGGGCCAAAACUGACGCUGAGGAGCGAAAGCCAGGGGAGCAAACGGGAUUAGAUACCCCGGUAGUCCUGGCCGUAAACGUUGGAUACUAGGUGUGAGGGGUAUCGACCCCCCUCGUGCCGCAGCUAACGCAUUAAGUAUCCCGCCUGGGGAGUACGGCCGCAAGGUUGAA
RNAcentral lists this ribosomal RNA (377 nucleotides) under uncultured bacterium. RNAcentral describes it as "bacterial SSU rRNA". It matches the Rfam family "Bacterial small subunit ribosomal RNA", at positions 524 to 898 of the family's 1533-position model. The record is from RNAcentral.